RNAcentral lists this antisense RNA (187 nucleotides) under Acorus calamus var. americanus. RNAcentral describes it as "Acorus americanus Antisense RNA which regulates isiA expression". It matches the Rfam family "Antisense RNA which regulates isiA expression". The record is from Rfam by way of RNAcentral. Lineage: Eukaryota; Viridiplantae; Streptophyta; Magnoliopsida; Acorales; Acoraceae.
AAUAACCAAAUAUAACACUUGGGCUAGUGUUAAGUUGGUUAUUUUUCUUACAUCUCCCCCCCCCAGGAGCCCAGGUGUCAUAUACACCCCCAAAAUAAAGAGCCUUGAAUACUAGAAGAAAAGCACCUAUCCCUAACAAAAUUAGAUGAAUACCUAAAAUUGUGGUCAUUUUAUUUCUAUCUUUCCA